UACGUAGGGGGCAAGCGUUGUCCGGAAUCAUUGGGCGUAAAGCGCGUGUAGGCGGUCCGGUAAGUCCGCUGUGAAAGUCGGGGGCUCAACCCUCGGAUGCCGGUGGAUACUGUCGGGCUUGAGUACGGAAGAGGCAAGUGGAAUUCCUGGUGUAGCGGUGAAAUGCGCAGAUAUCAGGAAGAACACCAAUGGCGAAGGCAGCUCUCUGGGACGGUACUGACACUGAGACGCGAAAGCGUGGGGAGCGAACAGG
This 253-nucleotide ribosomal RNA is filed under the name uncultured bacterium. RNAcentral describes it as "partial 16S ribosomal RNA". It matches the Rfam family "Bacterial small subunit ribosomal RNA", at positions 524 to 776 of the family's 1533-position model. The record is from RNAcentral.